CAAUAAUCAAUGAUGCAUAAUUAUUCAUCAUUAAUUAUUAAUCAUGAUUUAUGAAGCCAAAACUGGGAACCUCUUGUGGCCUAUGAAAGCUUGCCUAAGAUCAUUGUAACCAUUCCUGUAAUGUUCAAGUGAGAAGCAUAAUUGUCUUAUUGCUUCUCUUUUCUCUUCACCCCCUUCAAUUAUUUCAGCUUUCAACCUUUCAUUCUCUUCCACCAUCAUCUUAAUUUCAACAUCCUUUGAAACCACCAAUUCUUUUAAGGCACAAAUUUCACCAUUCAGUUCCUCUAUGUUCCUUUCUCUCCCCUUGAUUUCUCCAUUCAAUAACUCCAUCUCGCAUUCCAUCUUCUUAAUUUCUUCCUCCAACUGAAUCUGUUCAUCCAAAACCCUUCUCAACUCCGAUUCCAAUUGCAAUUUCUCCGCCAUCUUUUCUUUCAGCUUCACGCGCUCUCUUUUCUCGGAGUUGAAUUUCACUUUCCAAAACUCGGAUUCCUUAGUGGCUACGCUAAUCUGAUCCUUCAACAAUGAAAUUUGCAGUGUCGGUGAUAAUGAUUCAGUAACAUUAUUGUUAUUAUUAUGCAAAUUAUUCAUCAAUUCCAUAGAUCUAUAUUUCUCAAGCUCAACCUUGAGCUUGUAAAUUUCUUCCUCAUAAACCCUAAAUCUCUCAUUCACAUUCCUCAAUUCAUGUUCAUCCCGAGGAAAAUCCAUUUCCACUUCCAAGAUCCUCCUAUUCAUACCGCUAUCACUGCCACUACCACUGUAGAAUCCAGAAUUAAAACUCUGGACAGAAGAAUUAUCCGAAGAUUCAUCGUCGGAAUCCGUCAGAGUCGAAGAUCCGUCUCCAUCUUUGUGAAUUGCAUCGUAGAAACAGUUGUUGUUAUUCACAGCAUUGGAAGAACCAAGGAAGAAAUCAAACCCUGGGGCUCUGUAGCUGGAACCGCGGCGAGGAUUCAUUGAUGCGUGUGAUUCAGAACCGUUAUCUGAAUGACAUGAUUGAACAUCAUGAUCGUAGCGUUCUGCUAACGAUUUGUAUCCUCGAUAGAAUUCUUCAACAAGUGCAAUCAACUCUGGCCUUUUCUGGUAAUACAUCUCAGCCUUUUGAGCAAAUGAAUCUCCACCAUCUUCAAUUAGCUGCAGCAUUCGCUUCACAUUGUGUUCCAUCUCCGAGACAAAACUGAACCAAGGAGAAAUGCAAAUCUGAGCCCCUUUGAGAGUUGGAGGAGCGCAUACUUCUGUAUUAUGAAUAAUCAUUCAGAAGCUUGCGCUCAACAUAACACGUUGACAUUCAACGGUACAGUAUUUGUGAACCAAAAUGAAAUCGUUGACUACUGUAUUGGUGGAUGUGCUCAACACACCCUUGACGUCAUCAGAUGCGUCCGUGACGUCAAGCCUCAUGGCUUCACAUUUGAGACCGGUGCUUCCCUCUCCUUCGUUCAAAACGCCAUUCAAACUGCUUGCAAUCAACAUACAGCUUUGAAUACAUCUUACACUAAACCCAACGGUGCCACAAGUUUGUAUGGGAGAUUAUACAUGCCACUUGUUUCAGCACUAACAACAUUGGCCUUCAUUUCCACCUUCAAUAUGUGAUACUCUUUUCAAAGCCAUAUCUAGAGUGGAGUAAAAGGGGCAGAAUAUGAAAUGCAAAGAAGCUAGGUAAAAAAAUAAAAUAAAAUAAGCUUCCACGUAGAUAUUGCAGGGUGCCAAGAGUCUUGAUUAAUGUUAUUCUAUAAAUAUAGAAAUGAAUAAGCAGUUUCAUUUUUAUUUUUCCUUUUCCUAUUACCAGUAUAUAGGGUAUAUAAUUUCUGUAGCCUAUAUA
Long non-coding RNA from Arachis duranensis, 1813 nucleotides. RefSeq lists it as uncharacterized. Lineage: Eukaryota; Viridiplantae; Streptophyta; Magnoliopsida; Fabales; Fabaceae. The record is from RefSeq and is a predicted model, not a curated record. The transcript is spliced from 4 exons.